GAUGAACGCUGGCGGCGUGCUUAACACAUGCAAGUCGAACGGAAAGGCCCAAGCUUGCUUGGGUACUCGAGUGGCGAACGGGUGAGUAACACGUGGGUGAUCUGCCCUGCACUUCGGGAUAAGCCUGGGAAACUGGGUCUAAUACCGGAUAGGACGAUGGUUUGGAUGCCAUUGUGGAAAGUUUUUUCGGUGUGGGAUGAGCUCGCGGCCUAUCAGCUUGUUGGUGGGGUAAUGGCCUGCCAAGGCGUCGACGGGUAGCCGGCCUGAGAGGGUGUACGGCCACAUUGGGACUGAGAUACGGCCCAGACUCCUACGGGAGGCAGCAGUGGGGAAUAUUGCACAAUGGGCGCAAGCCUGAUGCAGCGACGCCGCGUGGGGGAUGACGGCCUUCGGGUUGUAAACUCCUUUCGCUAGGGACGAAGCGUUUUUGUGACGGUACCUGGAGAAGAAGCACCGGCUAACUACGUG
This 468-nucleotide ribosomal RNA is filed under the name uncultured bacterium. RNAcentral's name for it is "partial 16S ribosomal RNA". It matches the Rfam family "Bacterial small subunit ribosomal RNA", at positions 28 to 507 of the family's 1533-position model. The record is from RNAcentral.